AUUGAACGCUGGCGGCAGGCUUAACACAUGCAAGUCGAGCGGGGUGAUGGUGCUUGCACUAUCACUUAGCGGCGGACGGGUGAGUAAUGCUUAGGAAUCUGCCUAUUAGUGGGGGACAACAUCUCGAAAGGGAUGCUAAUACCGCAUACGUCCUACGGGAGAAAGCAGGGGAUCACUUGUGACCUUGCGCUAAUAGAUGAGCCUAAGUCGGAUUAGCAAGUUGGUGGGGUAAAGGCCUAACAAGGCGACGAUCUGUAGCGGGUCUGAGAGGAUAAUCCGCCACACUGGGACUGAGACACGGCCCAGACUCCUACGGGAGGCAGCAGUGGGGAAUAUUGGACAAUGGGGGGAACCCUGAUCCAGCCAUGCCGCGUGUGUGAAGAAGGCCUUAUGGUUGUAAAGCACUUUAAGCGAGGAGGAGGCUCUUUUGGUUAAUACCCAAGAUGAGUGGACGUUACUCGCAGAAUAAGCACCGGCUAACUCUGUGCCAGCCGCCGCCGUAA
This 503-nucleotide ribosomal RNA is filed under the name uncultured bacterium. RNAcentral's name for it is "partial 16S ribosomal RNA". It matches the Rfam family "Bacterial small subunit ribosomal RNA", at positions 30 to 523 of the family's 1533-position model. The record is from RNAcentral.